RNAcentral lists this non-coding RNA (29 nucleotides) under Mus musculus (house mouse). The record is from RNAcentral. Lineage: Eukaryota; Metazoa; Chordata; Mammalia; Rodentia; Muridae.
UGGUGUGGCUGGUGCACAUUCUUUCCUAA